AUCCCAGCUACUUGGGAGGCUGAGGCAGGAGAACUGCUUGAACCCGAGAGGCAAAGAUUGCAGUGAGCCAAGAUUGUCCCAUUGCACUGCAGCCUGGGCAACAGAGUGAAACUCCAUCUCAAAAAAAAAAAAAAAUAUAAUCCAUACAUUUUAUGUAUGAUCCAGGUCACAUGCACUUAUAUAAUCAUAUAAGUGGAAAUCAAAGUUUCUCCAGACAUUACUUACCUUUCCUAUUGGUGCUGCACUGUGAUCUUUUCUAUUCCAUUCUGUUCUAAUUUUUUUUUAAUGCUAGUUACAUCUCACUAAUUGAUUUUGCAACUCACUAAUGGAUUACAUAUUGCAGUUUGGAAAACUCUGCUAAUGAGUGUGUGAAGGCAUAUGGAGAAAGACAUUGUCAAGAGAAUGAGAAAACAAGCCACAGACUGGGAAAAAAUAUUUGCAAAAUACACAUCUGAUAAAGUACUGUUCUCCAAAAUAUACAAAGAAAUAAGUCUUUUAAAAUUUUUCUGAUUUUUUAUUUUUUUGAGAUGGAGUCUUGCUCUGUUACCCAGGCUGGGUGCAGAGGCGCGAUCUCGGCUCACAACAACCUCCUCCUCCCAGAUUCAAGCAAUUCUCAUGCCUCAGCCUCCCAAGUAGCUGCGAUUACAGGUGCAUGCCACCACACCCGGCUAAUUUUUUAUACUUUUGGUAGAGACGAGGUUUCGCCACGUUGGCCAGGCUGGUCUCAAACUCCUGAACUCAAGUGAUCUGCCUGCCUCAGCCUCCCAAAGUGCUGAGAAUGCAGGCGUAAGCCACUGCGCCCAGCCACUAUUUAUUUAUUUGAGACAUGAUCUUGCAUCGUCACCCAGGCUGUAGUGCAGUGACAUGAUCAUGGCUCACUGCAACCUUCAUCUCCCUGGGCUCAAGUAGUCCUCCUGCUUCAGCCCCCCAGAGUAGCUGGGACUACAGGUAUGCGCCACCAUGCCCGGCUAAUUUUUAAAUUUUUUUUGUAGAGACAGGGUCUUGCUAUGUUGCCCAGACUGGCCUCAAAUUCCUGGGCUCAAGAAAUCCUCCUGCCUUGACUCCUAAAGUGUUGGGAUUACAGACAUGAGCCACCAUGCCGAGCCAAAAACUCUUGAAACUCAACAAUAAGAAAUCAAAUAACCCAAUUAAAAAAUGGACCAGGCCGGGCGCAGUGGCUCACGCCUGUAAGCACUUUGGGAGGCCAAGGCGGGCGGAUCCUGAGGUCAGAAGAUUGAGACCAUCCUGGCUAACACGGCGAAACCCCAUCUCUACUAAAAAUACAAAAAAAAAAUAACCAGGCGUGGUGGCGGCAGGUGCCUCAAAAAAAAAAAAAAAAAAAGGACCAAAGACCCUAACACACAUCUCACCAAAGACAUACAGAUGGAAGGUAAGCAUAUGAAAAGACCUCUAUAUCCUAUGUCAUCGGGAAAAUGCAAAUUCAAACAAUGAAAUACUACUACGUAUCUAUUGGAAUGGCCCAAAUCUGGAAUACUGACAAUACCAAAUGCCGUGGAGGAUGUGGAAUAACAGAAACCCUCAUUCACUGCUGGUGGGAAUGUAACACGGUACAACCACUUUGGAAGAUAGUUUGGCAGUUUCUUACACCACUAAACAUACUUUUACCAUACAAUCCAGCAAUCAAGCACCUUGGUAUUUACCCACGUGUUAAAAAUUUACGUCUAGGUGGCCGGGCACGGUGGCUCACGCCUGUAAUCCCAGCACUUUGGGAGGCGAGAUGGGCGGAUCACCUGAGGUCAGGAGUUCAAGACCAGCCUGUCCAACAUGGUAAAAUGCCGUCUCUACUAAAAAUACAAAAAUUAGCUGGGUGUGGUGGCAGGCACCUGUAAUCCCAGCUACCCAGGAGGCUGAGGCAGGACAAUCGCUUGAACCCGAGAGGCGGAAGUUGCAGUGAACCUAGAUCAUGCCACUGCACUCCAGCCUGGGGAAAGAGAGCGAGACUUUGUCUCAAAAAAAAAAAAAAUUAUGUCUACAUAAAAACCUGUACAUGGAUGUUUACAGCAGCUUUAUAAUUACCAAAGCUUAGAAGCAACGAAGAUGCCCUUCGAUAGGUGAAUAAACUUACCAGACAGUUCUCCGGGUGGCCUUGGGCCACCCAGUUCUCCGCUUUCUCACUUAUAGUAUUCAAGAAUAACCGUAGAUUGUUCUGGGAAUGCAGCAUCCUGGGAUAACGAGGGACUGGACAGCACAGCCUGAGCUCUAUUCCAGGCCCUCCUAGAAAUAGAAUAUCCUUUAAAAAAAAAGAAAACAAGAAAGAAAUAGGACGUCCUUCAACAUUUUAGCCCACCAAGUCCUGUUGUCCCUAGGAUACAAAACCCAGGGCAGUUUGCUAGUGAGGUAAGCAAGACAUACACACUGACAAGACUCCAUUCACCCCAGGCAGCUUUUGUGAGCCUCGGGGGACUGGCUGAGUCCUAGGCUACGCUGUCCCUUGCUGCCUAUCUGUAAGUAAUACAUCUGGUGCGUGUAGCUUAUUUGAUUGGGGGGGUUUUUCUGUUCCACCCAACUCAAGCAAGUUGGUAGCCAGGGCAUAAUUAAUCUGCUUUGAAAAACUGUGGAAUAGCCAGACAUUAUUCAGUGCUAAAAGGAAACGUGCUAUCAAACCACGAAAAUGUGUCCAGAAUUGGUGGGUUCUUGGUCUCACUGACUUCAAGAAUGAAGCCGCAGACCCUCGCGGUAAGUGUUACAGUUCUUAAAGGCGGCGUGUCCAGAGUUUAUUCUUUCUGACGUUCGGAUGUGUUCAGAGUUUCUUCCUCCUGGUGGGUUCGUGGUCUCACUAGCUCAGGAGUAAAGCUGCAGACUUUCGCAGUGAGUGUUACAGCUCUUAAGUCGACGCAUCUGGAGUUGUUCGUUCCUCCCGGUGGGUUCGUGGUCUCGCUGGCUUCAGGAGCAAAGCUGCAGACCUUCCCGGUGAGUGUUACAACUCAUAAAAGUAGUGUAGAUCCAAAGAACAAACAGCAACAAAAUUUAUUCCAAAAAGUGAAAGAAUAAAGCUUCCUCUCUCCACCCCCCAACCCCCCCCCCCCCCCCCCCCCCGGAGAAAUAGGACCCGAGUACAUUGCCACUGCUGAGUCGGGGCAGUCUGCUUGCACUGCUGAGUCGGGGCAGUCUGCUUUUAUUCUCCUAUCUGGCCCCACCCACAUCCUGCUGAUUGGUCCAUUUUACAGAGCGCCGAUUGGUCUGUUUUACAGAGAGCUGAUUGGUCCAUUUUGACAGGGUGCUGAUUGGUGCGUUUACAAUCCCUGAGCUAGACACAAAAGUUCUCCACGUCCCCACUAGAUUAGCUAGACACAGAGUGUCCAUUGCUGCAUUCACAAACCCUGAGCUAGACACAG
This 3356-nucleotide long non-coding RNA is filed under the name Homo sapiens (human). RNAcentral describes it as "HSALNT0390051". Lineage: Eukaryota; Metazoa; Chordata; Mammalia; Primates; Hominidae. The record is from RNAcentral.